GGAGACUGCAGUAGGAGAUCAAUGAAGGGAAAGGAUCAGAGAGGAGGCAGAGAUAAAAGUGAGAGCGAAGUGAGUGGAAGAGACAGAAGGAAAGAGCAAGAGGUAAAUAGAAAGGGAAAGAAAGAGAGAGAGAGAGAGAGAAGAGAGAGAGGGGAAAGAGAGAGGUAAAUAGAAAGGGGAAGAAAGAGAGAGAGAGAAGAGAGAGAGGGGAAAGAGAGGUAAAUAGAAAGGGAAAGAAAGAGAGAGAGAAGAGAGAGGGGAAAGAGAGAGGUAAAUAGAAAGGGGAAGAAAGAGAGAGAGAGAAGAGAGAGAGGGGAAAGAGAGAGGUAAAUAGAAAGGGGAAGAAAGAGAGAGAGAGGGGGGAAAGAGAGAGGUAAAUAGAAAGGGAAAGAAAGAGAGAGAGAAGAGAGAGAAGGGAAAGAGAGAGGUAAACAGAAAGGGAAAAAAGAGAGAGAAGAGAGAGAGAGAGAAGAGAGGGGAAAGAGAGAGGUAAAUAGAAAGGUGAAGAAAGAGAGAGAGAGAGAGAGAGAGAGAGGGGAAAGAGAGAGGUAAAUAGAAAAGGGAAGAAAGAGAGAGAGAGAGAAUGAGGGGAAAGCUAAAAUAGCUAAAACAGAUUCGGAGAAGAAGUUUUACGUGCCCCCAACCAAUUGUAUUUUUUGUUCUUUUAUGUGUGUUUUUUGUAACUUAUUUUGUACAUAAUGUUGCCACUACCAUCACUUAGGAUCAAAAAUAACUUCUGGACAUCAGGACUGCUAUUACUCACCACGGACUGGAUGAAUAAUUUUUUUCCUUUAACGAGUCUGACGAGCGCGACAAACAAUAUAGUGCUUUCCCGGGAACAGGCCCAGAUCCCCGUGAUGUGCGUGAAGACGAGGCGUAGAAAAAGGGGCCUGAGGGCGGGCUGCCUUCUGAGAACUUGUAGGCGAUCGAAUAAACCCCCACUUCCUUCCAUUCUGCUAGCAAACGUGAAAUCUUUGGACAAUAAAAUAGAUGACCUACGCAGAAGAUUAAUCUACCAACGGGACAUUCAAAACUGUAAUAUCUUAUGCUUCACGGAGUCGUGGCUGAACGACGACACUAUCAACAUAUAGCUGGCUGGUUAUACACUGCACUGGCAGGAUAGAACAAUGGCGUCUGGUAAGACAGAGGGUGGAGAACUAUGUAUUUUUAUAAAUAACGGCUGGUGCACGAUAUCUAUGGAAGUCUCGAGCUAUUGCUCGCCUGAGGUAGAGUAUCUCAUGAUAAGCUUUAGACCACACUAUUUACCUAGAGAGUUUUCAUCUGUGUUUUUCAUAGCUGUUUACAUACCACCACAGUCAGAAGCUGUUUUCCGCCAUAAGCAAACAAGAAAACGCUCACCCAGAGGCAGGGCAACCUAGUAGACGGGGACUUAAAUCCAUUUUACUACAUUUCUAUCAGCAUGUUUAAUGUGCAACCAGAGGGAAAAAAACUCUGGACCACCUUUACUCCACACACAGAGACGCAUACAAAGCUCUACCUCGCCCUCCAUUUGGCAAAUCUGACCAUAAUUCUAUCCUCCUGAUUCCUGCUAACAAGCAACAAUUAAAGCAGGAAGCAUUAGUGACAAGAUCAAUAAAAAAGUGGUCAGAUGAAGCACACUCUAAACUACAGGACUGUUUUUCUAGCACAGACUGGAAAAUGUUCCGGGGUUCCUCCGAUGGUAUUGAGGAGUACACCACAUCAGUCAUUGGCUUCAUCAAUAAGUGCAUCGAUGAAAGUCAUCCCCACAGAGACCGUACGUACAUAUCCCAACCAGAUGUCAUGGGUUACAGGCAACAUCCGCACUGAGCUAAAGGUUAGAGCUGCCGCUUUCAAGGAGCGGAACUCUAACCCGGAAGCUUAUAAGAAAUCCCUCUAUGCCCUCUGACGAACCGUCAAACAGGCAAAGCGCCAAUACAGGACUAAGAUCGAAUCGUACUACAACGGCUCUGAGUCUUGUCGGAUGUGGAAUGGCUUGCAAACCAUUACAGACUACAAAGCAUCGUCCCUUACAGAAUGCAGCAGCCAUCAAAUGAAGCAUCAGGGAGUGCUGGCGGUUCGGAUGGUGGUGACAUCGGGUUCGGGGACUGCCACUGAUGGAACCGGGGGUGCCUUAGCUGGAUCGUUGGGUUUCCAUGCCCUAGCCGGCUCCAGAGGUUUCUUUGCCCCGGUUGUCUCUGAAGGCGCACAUCCCACAUCAGGCCUC
RNAcentral lists this long non-coding RNA (2206 nucleotides) under Salmo salar (Atlantic salmon). RNAcentral describes it as "lncRNA (ENSSSAG00000105941.1)". Lineage: Eukaryota; Metazoa; Chordata; Actinopteri; Salmoniformes; Salmonidae. The record is from RNAcentral.